Molecule: ribosomal RNA, 426 nt
Filed under: uncultured Roseateles sp.
Lineage: Bacteria; Pseudomonadati; Pseudomonadota; Betaproteobacteria; Burkholderiales; Sphaerotilaceae
Description: bacterial SSU rRNA
Rfam family: Bacterial small subunit ribosomal RNA
Source: RNAcentral
GGGGAAUUUUGGACAAUGGGCGCAAGCCUGAUCCAGCCAUGCCGCGUGCGGGAAGAAGGCCUUCGGGUUGUAAACCGCUUUUGUCAGGGAAGAAAAGGUUCUGGCUAAUACCUGGGACUCAUGACGGUACCUGAAGAAUAAGCACCGGCUAACUACGUGCCAGCAGCCGCGGUAAUACGUAGGGUGCAAGCGUUAAUCGGAAUUACUGGGCGUAAAGCGUGCGCAGGCGGUUAUGCAAGACAGAGGUGAAAUCCCCGGGCUCAACCUGGGAACUGCCUUUGUGACUGCAUGGCUAGAGUACGGUAGAGGGGGAUGGAAUUCCGCGUGUAGCAGUGAAAUGCGUAGAUAUGCGGAGGAACACCGAUGGCGAAGGCAAUCCCCUGGACCUGUACUGACGCUCAUGCACGAAAGCGUGGGGAGCAAACA